GAUAUGUUCUUUUUGAAUUUAGUCUUAGAACGGAUAAACUAAAAGACAAUUCAUAUGAUUUUGAUCUCAUCGUAUAUCAUUAAAGGCGAUGGGGAAUCCCGUGAUGGUAAUGAGGAUUUUGCCAAGAGUGGAGGCAAGAAUGUGGUUACGAUCUUAUUGUGCAAGCUGCUAAUUUAAGAUUUAUAUUUAUAUGUUCAAGGUAAGAGUGGAGUCUUGACUAGAUUCAGAAUUUCUGUCUCACAAUUAACUUAAUGUCAUAUUUCUCAUAUAAGGAAACGAAACCAGCGAUUAUGAUAAAGUCCAGUGUAAAGGUAGGAAUCUGUUAAAUGUUUGUACGUGAUUAUUUAGGCUGCUCAUGUAAGAUUUGAUGUUAUUUCUAAAAGGGACUAAAUAAUUAAAUACAUUUAUCUUCCUUGAAGUAGAAUCUGACUUACCAGCAAGACUGACCAGUGUGAUCCUUGGUGGAGUGACUGUUCUCCUGUUAAUGGUCACCGCUGUUCUGAUACUUCAAAGAGCCAAGAAUGAAACACAAUAUCCACAUAAAGAUCCGGAUCUGGACUCUGAGGAGCUGAGGGCUGCAGCCAUAAGAAGGAGGGUGAUGUCUGCCUCAAAGAGAGAGAUGGAGACUCAUGUUAUCUACGCUGCCAGCAGAUAGACUCAGGCAGCAGCUUCCCCAGCAAAGCUUUGUCCUAUAUAUCUGCUUGUAUUGUCUUGUGUAACCGAGGGGAGGGGUUACAAACAAAUCUGAAUCUGCUAUAAAUAAAAAACACUUUUAU
This is a long non-coding RNA of Mugil cephalus (flathead mullet), 776 nucleotides long. RefSeq lists it as uncharacterized. The record is from RefSeq and is a predicted model, not a curated record. NCBI's taxonomy places the organism in Eukaryota, Metazoa, Chordata, Actinopteri, Mugiliformes, Mugilidae. The transcript has 3 exons.